UCCGGAUUGGUGUAGGGGUUAACAUUGCCGCCUCUCAUGUUUACGUAAGCAGCUCGCUUUACGUAAUUCUCUCGCGGCAGCCCGGGGUUCGAUUCCCCGAUCCGGAA
Molecule: non-coding RNA, 107 nt
Organism: Mycena latifolia
Lineage: Eukaryota; Fungi; Basidiomycota; Agaricomycetes; Agaricales; Mycenaceae
Source: the annotation of a GenBank genome assembly